This 488-nucleotide ribosomal RNA is filed under the name uncultured bacterium. RNAcentral describes it as "partial 16S ribosomal RNA". It matches the Rfam family "Bacterial small subunit ribosomal RNA", at positions 28 to 506 of the family's 1533-position model. The record is from RNAcentral.
GAUGAACGCUAGCGGCAGGCUUAAUACAUGCAAGUCGAGGGGCAGCAGGACUGUAGCAAUACAGUUGCUGGCGACCGGCAAACGGGUGCGGAACACGUACGCAACCUACCCAAAACUGGGGGAUAGCCCGGGGAAACCCGGAUUAAUACCUCGUAACCUUUUUAAGUGGCAUCACUUGAUAAGUAUAGCUCCGGCGGUUUUGGAUGGGCGUGCGCCUGAUUAGGUAGUUGGUGCGGGUAACGGCCCACCAAGCCUGCGAUCAGUAACUGGUGUGAGAGCACGACCAGUCACACGGGAACUGAGACACGGGCCCGACUCCUACGGGAGGCAGCAGUAAGGAAUAUUGGUCAAUGGACGCAAGUCUGAACCAGCCAUGCCGCGUGAAGGAUGAAGGUCCUCUGGAUUGUAAACUUCUUUUAUGGGGGACGAAACCCGGAUAUUCUUAUCCGAUUGACGGUACCUCAGGAAUAAGCACCGGCUAACUCCGU